Molecule: long non-coding RNA, 1684 nt
Organism: Pogona vitticeps (central bearded dragon)
Lineage: Eukaryota; Metazoa; Chordata; Lepidosauria; Squamata; Agamidae
Source: Ensembl
AUGGUGAUGGUGGAAAGAGCAUCCUUAAAUGCCAUCCUUAUCUUUCUCUUACCUGUCUUUGCCUGGGUUUAGAAGCAUGAGUCCUCGAAAUGUGAUGGACUAAAAGAGCUUUCCCCUCAACCAAUCCCUUCCGGCUCACACCUUCUGCCUCCACUCUUUGCCCUUGGGUUGGAUUAGAGUUGCUUUCUGCUAGAGAGGCUUAGGAGAGGGAGCUCCCAUUAAGUUUCCAGCGUACUACAGCGAUGAUGAACAGUCUGUGAGAAAAGAUCAGUCAUAAACAGGUGCUCUCACAAGAGAAGAAUGUCCCAUUGGGAGCGGUACUGGCAGUGUAGCAAUGAGGAACUCCCCCUGGCCUCCCCUCUCUAUCCUUCCCUGUUCUUCCCUGCUACUUUUUGAAAGCCAUCUCGGGAUUCUCAUAAGGAAGAUUGGCCUGAAGGUGAGAGUCAAGUCGUAGUGGUUUGUGUGCUCUCAUUUCUGUAUGGGCACAUUUUUGUGUGGUACAGUAAGAGCCUCCUAAAAAAAUAAACAGAAUUUGCAGUGCUACUGAAGACUCCGUUUCAGCAAAUGAGUGAACAUAUUCGAUGAAACUCAGAGGGAGACUCUUUCUGUCCAGUUUACCAAGGAAGGAAAGGUUGCAGCAAGGACUCUGCAGCGUUGGCUGCCAGCCGUCUGGGCCAGCAUGGAGAAUGGAGUGGUGCUGCAGAGGUAAGCCUGCUGUGCCCAUGGCCAGCCAGCAUCUGUGGAGUAGGUGAUGCUUUGGAGGGAGGGAGGGAAGGAUGCAGACAGACGGAAAGAGGGGAUGACUGCAAAGCACAGCUUGCCAGCAGCCUAUGGAAACCAAAUCCUGCAGCAGAGGGGGUCCAGCCUGAAGCAACUUUUACUUAAUAAAGAUAUGUAUGCUUGACAGAUAUUGUGAGGGUCUUUCUCCAGGAGUGGGGAGUCCUCUGGAGCUGUGCUGGGGUAGGGGCAAGAGCACGAGAAUAUCUGCCUGCGUGUCUAGGCUGUUUCCCACCCUCUUGAGCUCUGUGGUCCUCAAUCUAGUUGUUUAUUCUUUCAGCAAAGAGCCACUAGGACAACGUUCAGGAGAACUGGAUGGACUUGCACUGUCACUGGAAACAGGAACAAUGGCCAGUUCAGAAGGAGACUCAGAAAGGAUGGUGGAUGAGAGAAGGACGACCUCUGAAACAACAAACAAGGUGCAUGGAGCUGAAAGCAGUUUCACAUUUUCUGACUUAAGAGGGAUCCUCAAGGGAUUUAUUUAUUUAGGUCCAGAUUAGGAGUUUAUUAGACCUUGUACAGUUGCUUUAGGCCUAGCAGUACCUUUAGAAGAUCCUCUAAUUGAAUAUGUUAUUAUGUUUGCUAUUUUGAUCAUUUGAUUUAGACUUAUUCAUUCAUUUGUUUGUUUGUUUAUUUUAUUUAAAGCUAACAACUUUGAGUAUAAAAGUACUAAAAAGGUUCAUAGAAUAUUAUACAAGAAAAAUAAGCAACACCAAAACACAUUCAGAGCAGUAAAGUACACCAAUCCAUUAAUUGAUGCUGAAAGCCGCCCGGAGACUCUUGCAGAGUGCGGGCAGCAUACAAAUCGAAUGAAUGAAUGAAUGAAUGAAUGAAUGAAUGAAUGAAUGACUGAAUGAAUGAAUGAAUGAAUGAAUGAAUGAAUGAAUAAAUAAAUUUUAAAAACCCA